AAGAACCGGGUUGUACCCAUAGUUUUCAGCCCAUAAUACAUCAAACGGUUUAGGCCCAUAACCAACCAUAUCUAAACUGAUUUCUCAGCAAACCCAAACUAAACCAAACUUAAAAAGUCCCAGCCCAAUAAAACCCAAACCGGUCAAGCCCAAAAUAAAAAACUAAACCGUUUAAACCAGUUUUUCUAAAACCGUUCUCAGAUUUACCCAAACCCUUCAAAUCC
RNAcentral lists this long non-coding RNA (224 nucleotides) under Hordeum vulgare. RNAcentral's name for it is "long non-coding RNA (HVUL_LNC001107)". Lineage: Eukaryota; Viridiplantae; Streptophyta; Magnoliopsida; Poales; Poaceae. The record is from RNAcentral.